AACGAACGCUGGCGGCAUGCCUAACACAUGCAAGUCGAACGAGACCUUCGGGUCUAGUGGCGCACGGGUGCGUAACGCGUGGGAACCUGCCCUUAGGUUCGGAAUAACUCCCCGAAAGGGGUGCUAAUACCGGAUAAUGUCUUCGGACCAAAGAUUUAUCGCCUUUGGAUGGGCCCGCGUUGGAUUAGCUAGUUGGUAGGGUAAAAGCCUACCAAGGCGACGAUCCAUAGCUGGUCUGAGAGGAUGAUCAGCCACACUGGGACUGAGACACGGCCCAGACUCCUACGGGAGGCAGCAGUGGGGAAUAUUGGACAAUGGGCGAAGGCCUGAUCCAGCAAUGUCGCGUGAGUGAUGAAGGCCUUAGGGUUGUAAAGCUCUUUUACCCGGGAUGAUAAUGACAGUACCGGGAGAAUAAGCUCCGGCUAACUCCGUG
RNAcentral lists this ribosomal RNA (433 nucleotides) under uncultured bacterium. RNAcentral's name for it is "partial 16S ribosomal RNA". It matches the Rfam family "Bacterial small subunit ribosomal RNA", at positions 29 to 507 of the family's 1533-position model. The record is from RNAcentral.